Molecule: long non-coding RNA, 1908 nt
Organism: Gallus gallus (chicken)
Lineage: Eukaryota; Metazoa; Chordata; Aves; Galliformes; Phasianidae
Source: Ensembl
CCCCGUGCCGCUGUCACCGCCCCGUCCCCUCCUGCGCAGAGCUCUCCGCGGAGAUGUCCGCUCCUCCCUCCCACCGGGAGCCCCGCGGUGCCGUCCGAUCUCAGCCUCUCCGCGGCGUUUACGUGAAAGGUCGGCAUCUGACUCAUGACUCCAAUGCGGUGGUAGAUCCACGGUAACAUCUGAAGCUAAUGCAGCCUUCCAUCAGCUUGAGGAUGCCAUCCUCUGUUCAGCUGCACUGUGGGGCUCCACCUCCCACAUCUCUGGUGUGGAACCACCCAGUACCCGCACAGCUGUGCCCUCACCAGAGCUGUGUGUACCCAGGGAGCAGCUGUGAGCACUGAGCACCACUCCAAGGUGCAGUGAUAGCGUCGUUCCCCAACACCACCACGGCUCUGACAUGCAGAGGCAGUAUCUACCGACUUCCCAGAAGUAGAGCUUUCUCAGCUGUUUUUAUUUUUGCUGAGUGACGUGUUGGACAAACAGGAGCAGUUCGCUGUGCCCCAGCUGUCACAGGGCCGAGUCACACAGAGCGUGCCGACAGCGCUUGACGCUGGAACAAAACAAGUGCUGCCUCUCUGCAGCCAGCGCGUAUCUGUGCUGGAUGCUGCAUAUACUGGAAACUCAUAUCAGCUCAUGGAAGCCUGGAUUGCCAAAAGGCAGAACCCAGAUUGAGGAGGUGUCAGUAAAGGCAUUUAUGAAGAUCUGGACAAGCUCAGCCAGCAAAGCACAAUAACCCUGAAAAGCUGUUUGUACAGCACUGAUUUGCUGCACCCAUAGGAUGCUGUAGCCUUCAAAUGCACCCAGAAGGCAAAGCAGAGUGCACGCAGCAGGUUAGGGCAUAAACAUCUCUGGUAUUAACAUCACAUCAGUAUUAAUUCAGACUUGAAGAAAAUUGUCACAUUUCACAACAAAGUCACUUCUUUCCUUCCCUGUUUCUCAGUUGAGUUUGGGUGUUAUUUCUCCAAUGCAUUUUGCACCAUCGUUUUGAUGUGCAUUUAUUGUUCCAAGAAAUGUAUCCAUUACCAGAGCUUCCUUGCAGCACGAGGUAUGACUUCAUUUGAUCAACCGACUGAAGGCUGAGUGGAAUUCAUGAGACUUCUCUGAUACUUAGCACUCAUUGGUGAGGGACAGGCUGGGCUGUAGUCAUGUUCCUGGCCCACAUCUGCAACAGUAAGCCCAGGAAACAUCAGAGCGCUUUUCUGAGUCCCACACCUACCCACGUGGCUACAAACUUGAGAUAUCUUGUAGCUAACUGAAGGUCCUGAGCCGCUUUAGGCUCUGCCUCGGGAGCACAGUGAAAGGAAGUUCUAUGCCGGUACCUUCAGCCCAUAGAGGCAGAGGGAAAGCAGGGUCGGUUCGGCAACAUCUCCGCAGCGACCUCCUUUCAGCGCCGGGAACGGCCCGCAGCGCCACCUAGCGGCCAUGGCGGGGAAGUGACACCGACCGGAGGACGAGAAGGGAUCUGGCAGUGCUCGACCGGCCGCGGAGCACCUGGAGUUUCUGGGGAUGAUUUUCAGUUUCCACGAAGCAGAAGAGCUUUCCUGUGGAGCGUCGGUGUCUCAGACACGGUCUCCCUGCUUGGGUAGAUGCUGAAGAGCCCUCUCCAGGGAAGCGAAGCACACAGCAAAGCCCCCCAGGGUCAGAAGGAGAUCAUCCAGCAGAGACCAGACCCCACCCCGUGCCGGGUGGAGGAUUUAAUGGCACGCUAUUGGGACAAGCAGAGGCACAAGGACGGCUCCAGCUCUGCCUGCAGAUGCCCACGUGCCCUGUGGGAGCUCACCUGACCGAGCCCGGAGCACGCCCUGGUGGGGAGAACAUCUCUUUGUCCUCAUUCAGAUUACCAACUUGCUAAGCACACUCCCUCCUUGCAAAGUGAAAGGGAAAACAUGGGAGAAACUAGCAUUAUUA